CUACGGGGGGCAGCAGUGAGGAAUAUUGCACAAUGGGGGGAACUCUGAUGCAGCAACGCCGCGUGGAGGAUGACGCAUUUCGGUGUGUAAACUCCUUUUAUAUGUCAAGAAAAUGACGGUAGCAUAUGAAUAAGCACCGGCUAACUCCGUGCCAGCAGCCGCGGUAAUACGGAGGGUGCAAGCGUUACUCGGAAUCACUGGGCGUAAAGGACGCGUAGGCGGGUUGGAAAGUCAGGUGUGAAAUCCUACAGCUUAACUGGAGAACUGCACUUGAAACUUCUAAUCUAGAGUAUGGGAGGGGGAGAUGGAAUUAGUGGUGUAGGGGUAAAAUCCGUAGAUAUCACUAGGAAUACCUAAAGCGAAGGCGAUCUCCUGGAACAUUACUGACGCUAAGGCGUGAAAGCGUGGGGAGCAAACAGGAUUAGAUACCCCAGUAGUC
RNAcentral lists this ribosomal RNA (439 nucleotides) under uncultured bacterium. RNAcentral describes it as "partial 16S ribosomal RNA". It matches the Rfam family "Bacterial small subunit ribosomal RNA", at positions 339 to 795 of the family's 1533-position model. The record is from RNAcentral.